AACCAAUGUUGUGGAUACUUUCGCAAGAGAUCCUUGAAUUGUUCCCAUGUCUCAAAUAACGAUUCUAACUCCAUCUGAACAUAUAAAGAGAUCUCAUUAUGAAGCUU
Dioscorea cayenensis subsp. rotundata (Guinea yam) is the source of this 107-nucleotide small nucleolar RNA. NCBI's taxonomy places the organism in Eukaryota, Viridiplantae, Streptophyta, Magnoliopsida, Dioscoreales, Dioscoreaceae. The record is from RefSeq and is a predicted model, not a curated record.